Molecule: ribosomal RNA, 837 nt
Filed under: Triticum aestivum (bread wheat)
Lineage: Eukaryota; Viridiplantae; Streptophyta; Magnoliopsida; Poales; Poaceae
Description: partial small subunit ribosomal RNA
Source: RNAcentral
AUGUCUAGCCUCCGAGUUGGCUCUCAAACCAUCACCGACCAUGAUGCCAUGGCCGAGGCAGCCUUUGCUUACUUCUUCGACGUCCUCGGCAGCACCUCCGAGCGCGACAUCACCCUAGACCUCCACGCUCUCCGGGUGCCGCAGUUUGACCUUCUCGAGCUCGAUGCACCCUUCACUAAGGAAGAGAUAUGGAACGCCAUCAAGAGUUUGCCGGCCGAGAAAGCACCAAGCCCCGAUGGAUUCACCUCCGAAUUCCUAGUUGCAUGUUGGAACACAAUCAAGCAUGACUUCCGCAAGGCGUUCGACAAGCUUUACGCCAUGAACGGCAUAGGCUUUCAAAAGCUCAAUGAGGCCCUCCCUACGCUGCUUCCCAAACGUGCGGACGCGCAGUCUCUCUUCGACUAUCGACCUAUCAAUCUCAUAUACAUCUUCGCCAAGCUCGCCGCAAAGCUGCUCUCCCUCCGCCUUGCGCCACGGCUGGAAUCCAUGGUCUCCACUAAUCAAAGUGCAUUCAUCGCGGGAUAUUGCAUCCAUGACAACUAUCUUCUGCUGCAACAGACGGCUUGCCUCCUGCACAACCUCAAGGCACCAUGCAUGCUGCUCAAGUUGGAUAUCCCGCGGGCCUCCAACAGUGUAUCCUGGCCUUUUCUCCUCCAGAUACCGCAUCAUCUCGGCUUUGGGCCACAUUGGCACGAAUGGAUCUCCAUACUCCUAUCAAUGGCCUCUAUGAGAGUCCUCAUCAAUGGCCACCCGGGAUCACCGAUUGAUCACGCUCAUGGCCUUCGGCAAGGCGACCUAGUGUCCCCCAUGCUUUUACUCUGGUCAUUAACGUUCUGA